RNAcentral lists this ribosomal RNA (447 nucleotides) under uncultured bacterium. Its description in RNAcentral is "bacterial SSU rRNA". It matches the Rfam family "Bacterial small subunit ribosomal RNA", at positions 329 to 792 of the family's 1533-position model. The record is from RNAcentral.
UGCCAGACUCCUACGGGAGGCAGCAGUGGGGAAUAUUGCACAAUGGGGGAAACCCUGAUGCAGCGACGCCGCGUGAGUGAAGAAGUAUUUCGGUAUGUAAAGCUCUAUCAGCAGGGAAGAAGAAGGACGGUACCUGAGUAAGAAGCCCCGGCUAACUACGUGCCAGCAGCCGCGGUAAUACGUAGGGGGCAAGCGUUAUCCGGAUUUACUGGGUGUAAAGGGAGCGUAGACGGCGAUGCAAGUCUGAAGUGAAAGGCGGGGGCCCAACCUCCGGACUGCUUUGGAAACUGUAUGGCUGGAGUGCAGGAGAGGUAAGUGGAAUUCCUAGUGUAGCGGUGAAAUGCGUAGAUAUUAGGAGGAACACCAGUGGCGAAGGCGCCUUACUGGACCGAAACUGACGUUGAGGCUCGAAAGCGUGGGGAGCAAACAGGAUUAGAUACCCCAGUA